AAACAUAUGCAUACAGAACACGUGCAACACAAUUGAUCUGUAAACGGAUCGAUGCUUCUAUACAUACGCACAUACACUCAAGCACAUAAACAAUAUAGGACCAUCUUCAAUCGACAACACUAUAGACAUCUGCCCAAUGUAAGCCAUGAGAAUGUGAGGUCAUCUGUUUCUUCUAGGACAACAAGCAACCAAACGCCCUAUCGAUCAGGGAAAUCACGAUCAAGCCCAAUGUAUAGCGAUUGCUUCUCGAGGACAACGGAUGAAUUGUUGUAGCUAAUCUAUAGAAGCUCGAUCAAAUAUUCAAAAGGUACAAGUCUAUUGAAAUAUAGAUAUCAAAAUAAAAAUAAAUAAAUGAUUUCAUAAGUACUUCACCAAGAACACGGAUAGCUGAAUUUCAGAAAUAUAUAAACCUAAACUCCUAGAUUAAAAUGUGGAAUAGACUAAAAUAAAAUGGAUUGUUAUUUAUGCCAUAUGUUGAGUGUGAUUUGCUACUCAUUUUUAGUGGACCAUGAUUGAUAAGAUUAAAACUUGAUCAUUGGUUUUUUUUAAUGGAUAGCCGGGUUCAACUUAAAAUUAGAAUAAGCCUAAUGCGUUUGAUUGUUUCUUCACUUCGAGAGCACUCAAAUUUUCACUUGUGCAUCUGAUAUUAAAAAAAACACUAAGUAUAGCAUACACUACAAAAAAAAAUACUUAUGCACACUACAGCAAGCACACACUCACAUAAUGCCUACUAAAGAUUAGAAUCGCAGCAUCAAUAUAUCUAAUACACUUCUACAAAAGAAAAUGAAAAGGAGGCCGAUCCCUCCGGCCUAUGCAUCAUGCACACAGUCAUAUAUGCUUCUACAAAAUAAAUGUAUGUUCACGAAUUAAUAACCCAAAACAUGGCACAUUGAAUAAUUUGUGCAACUUAAUUUAGUUUCUGGUAGAUAUUAUAUUGGCCAUGAUCUAUUCUACAAUGUAAAACCAAUAUUCCUCUUUAUGUAACAACACAAUUUAAAAACAAAGUAGGAAAUAAAAUAUGAAUACAAACUACAAGAUAUAUAUUAGCAUAAGUAAGUCUAGCUGCACAAAUUAUGUGUGGGUCACCAUGCUAUAGUUACGCAAUAAAAGAGCUAACGCAAAAGGUGAAUAUUUUCCCUAUUUUGAAAAAAAAAUACUAGGAUCCGCACAUGAACGGCUAAGGUGGGUACUUUCAUUUUCCCCUUAGAUGAGUGGAUUUCUAUGUUCAUCCACAAUUGGACGGCUUAGAUGAGGCACAUGGCUCCAAACUAAAAUCUUAUUUCCACGCA
RNAcentral lists this long non-coding RNA (1289 nucleotides) under Brachypodium distachyon (stiff brome). RNAcentral describes it as "long non-coding RNA (BDIS_LNC002876)". The record is from RNAcentral. Lineage: Eukaryota; Viridiplantae; Streptophyta; Magnoliopsida; Poales; Poaceae.